This 258-nucleotide ribosomal RNA is filed under the name uncultured Mycoplasmataceae bacterium. RNAcentral describes it as "partial 16S ribosomal RNA". It matches the Rfam family "Bacterial small subunit ribosomal RNA", at positions 411 to 662 of the family's 1533-position model. The record is from RNAcentral. Lineage: Bacteria; Bacillati; Mycoplasmatota; Mollicutes; Mycoplasmatales; Mycoplasmataceae.
GAGGUCUUCGGAUCGUAAACCUCUGUUGUGAAGGAAGAAUAACUUAGAUAGUAAAUGAUCUAUGUUUGACGGUACUUUACCAGAAAGUCACGGCUAACUAUGUGCCAGCAGCCGCGGUAAUACAUAGGUGGCAAGCGUUAUCCGGAUUUAUUGGGCGUAAAGAGUGCACAGGUGGUUUAUCAAGUCAGUUGUUAAAUACCAAGGCUCAACCUUGGCUCGCAAUUGAAACUGAUAGACUAGAAUAUCGGUGGGGGUAGU